Molecule: microRNA precursor, 102 nt
Organism: Brassica oleracea var. oleracea
Lineage: Eukaryota; Viridiplantae; Streptophyta; Magnoliopsida; Brassicales; Brassicaceae
Rfam family: MIR394 microRNA precursor family
Source: Rfam
CUUAUAGAUAUCUUUGGCAUUCUGUCCACCUCCUUUACAUAUGUGUAUGGACGAUGUGUUUUGUGAGUGGAGGUGGGCAUACUGCCAAUAGAGAUCUGUUAG